This 324-nucleotide long non-coding RNA is filed under the name Gossypium barbadense (sea-island cotton). RNAcentral describes it as "long non-coding RNA (GBAR_LNC003501)". Lineage: Eukaryota; Viridiplantae; Streptophyta; Magnoliopsida; Malvales; Malvaceae. The record is from RNAcentral.
UUGUGGCUUUUAUAGCCAAAAAUACAAUAUUCUGUUAAUUUUUAUUGCUCCAUUUUUUGUCCUUUUCCUUUGCUUGUUUGCAGGUGCGGCAAAGGCAUGGUGGUGGUAGACGGUAUGGGGGUGUGUGAUGGUGCUGGUGGCAGACAGCAUGGGAGAGUGGGAGUGGUGCUGGUGGCAGACAGCAUGGGAGAGUGGGAAGAGGCAAGUGGGAGUUUAGGGUUUUGGGAUUGGGCUUGGAUGUUGGGCUAGGUUAAUUUUAGGUUUUGGGUUUGAGGAUGGGUUAAAUGGGCUUGGUAUUAGUGGGCCAAAAUUGGCCUACUACAG